CCCAGGUCAAGGAGGCAGUGUCAGUCUGGGCUGGCGGGCCACGGAGCUGUAUACUCCUGAGGGAGCCUCAUCUCGGCACGUGCCAGUCACGUGCUCGCCAGCCUGCAAGCCAUUAUGGCCCUAGAAGAAUGUUUCAUUAGAUAUCGUUGCGAAGGUUAUGUGCGACAUGUCAAGCUGUGGUCAAAGCAACAAAAAGUAAUUUAUAUUGUGCGCGAUACACUUACCGUUGGCUUAACACUUGCGGUGCUGUGUGAAGUUUAAACAUCGUCUUGGUACGGGCUACAGCAGCACACUGUGUGGUACACAUCUACCCUCCAGGUGUCUUCUUGCGGUCGUCAGGAGGAGGAAGAGUCCAGAGGUGACGAGGCCACCAGUAAGGUACGUCGACGACAUUGAUGCAGGUACCUGACGUCGUACCUGCAUCUCGGUACGACGUCGGAACUCUUCAACGUUUGCAGCAGUUGAAGGUGG
Long non-coding RNA from Procambarus clarkii (red swamp crayfish), 471 nucleotides. RefSeq lists it as uncharacterized. The record is from RefSeq and is a predicted model, not a curated record. NCBI's taxonomy places the organism in Eukaryota, Metazoa, Arthropoda, Malacostraca, Decapoda, Cambaridae.